Molecule: RNA transcript, 1698 nt
Organism: Manduca sexta (tobacco hornworm)
Lineage: Eukaryota; Metazoa; Arthropoda; Insecta; Lepidoptera; Sphingidae
Gene name: cytochrome P450 4C1-like
Exons: 9
Source: RefSeq, a predicted model, not a curated record
GUAUUUAAUUUAAUAACACAGUACGAAGAUAAGGUGUCUUUAGUAGCAACGUACAAAUGAUAAAAGCUUUUAAUACGUAAUAAUUAUCAUCAGUCUAAAUAUUUGUUGAAUUGUAUCAACAUGUUUAUUUACCUGUUUGCAAUAAUUGUGAUUUUGUGUGUGAUACAUAUAAUAUUUAAUUACAAUGCGUCGGCCAGGCUCCUUAGAAGAAUACCCGGUCCCCCGGACAGGUUUAUUGUGGGAAAUUCACCAGAACUUUUACUUUCAUCAGUUGAAUUAAUGAAAUUACCAAGAAAAUAUGCUGAGCGAUGGGCGAAGUCGGGAAUAUGCAGAUUUUGGACGUUUCCUUGGGCUGCAGUGAUGAUUUACGAUCCAAAAGAUAUAGAGAUAGUCCUGUCGGGUAUGAAGCACCAUGAAAAGAGUGUGAUUUAUAAAUUUCUAAGCCCUUGGUUAGGCGAUGGAUUACUGGUAAGCGCAGGUGAAAAAUGGCAACAUCGCAGAAAAAUUCUUACACCAGCUUUUCACUUCAAUAUUUUACGACAAUUUUCGGUCAUUUUAGAAGAGAACAGUCAGCGAUUGGUUGAAAGAUUAGAGAAGACUGUGGGACAGCCCAUAGAUGUGACACCCGUUCUUUCGGAAUUUACUCUCAAUUCCAUAUGCGAAACUGCAAUGGGGACUCAAUUAAACAAAGAGACAACGGGCGCUGGCAAAGCAUACAAGGAUGCAAUUUAUGAACUAGGACAGAUAUUAGUACAAAGAUUCAUAAGUUUUCAUCUUUAUAGUGACAUCAUAUUCUUUAGUACCUCAUUGGGACGGAAAUUGAAAAAGCAUUUGAGUGCACUUCAUAGAUUCACAGAACGUGUUAUUAGUGAUAGAAAAGAUUAUCUAGAUUAUUUCGGUCUCCAAUUUUGGGGGAUGAAAUUGUUGAUGAUGAUAAAUUUAUUUACAAGAAAAGGAAGAAAACAGCCAUGCUUGAUUUACUAAUAGCAGCUGAAAGAGAUGGGGAAAUCGAUAGCCAGGGGAUCCAAGAAGAGGUCGACACGUUUAUGUUUGAAGGUCACGACACCACUGCUUCUGGGUUGACGUUUUGUUUCAUGCUUCUUGCGAAUAACAAACAUAUACAGGAUAAAAUAGUAGCCGAGUUAGACGACAUCUUCGGCGACUCGACGCGACCUGCCAACAUGGAGGAUUUUGCCAAGAUGCGUUACUUGGAAUGUUGCAUUAAAGAGUCCCUACGACUCUAUCCGCCGGUACACUUCAUUAGCCGCAACAUCAAUGAACCAGUCAAAUUGAAUAACUACGAAGUGCCAGGGGGCACAUCGUGCUUUGUAUUUAUUUAUGACUUGCACCGUCGCAGCGAUCUAUUCAAAAACCGUCGGUUUUUGAUCCCGAUCGCUUCUUACCCGAGAACAGCGUUGGGCGUCAUCCCUACUCCUACAUUCCCUUCAGUGCUGGUCCCAGGAACUGUAUAGGUCAAAAGUUUGCAAUAAUGGAGAUGAAAUCCGCAGUAUCUGAAGUGCUGCGAAAAUACGAACUACGCCCAGUAACAAGACCAUCGGAUAUAGAGUUCAUAGCAGACAUCGUACUAAGAAAUUCAGGCCCUGUGGAGGUUACUUUUGUCAAAAGGCAAAAGUAAUUCCUUCAAACUGUAGUCUUGUCGCUAAUCACCAAAGUUUAAUAAAUGUACCUAUUGAAUCA